UUCAGCUAAGCUCGUAGUUGGAUUUGUGGCUGUCACGGGCGGCCUAUCACUUAGUGUUAGUGCUUGCCUGUGUCGCCAUCCUUGGGUGGAGCCCGUGUGGCAUUAGGUUGUCGUGCGGGGGAUGCCCAUCGUUUACUGUGAGAAAAUUAGAGUGUUCAAAGCAGGCUUAUGCCGUUGAAUAUGUUAGCAUGGAAUAAUAAGAUAGGACCUCGGUACUAUUUUGUUGGUUUGCGCACCGAGGUAAUGAUUAAUAGGGACAGUUGGGGGUAUUCGUAUUCCAUUGUCAGAGGUGAAAUUCUUGGAUUUCUGGAAGACGAACUACUGCGAAAGCAUUUACCAAGGAUGUUUUCAUUAAUCAAGAACGAAAGUUAGGGGAUCGAAGAUGAUUAGAUACCAUUCGUAGUCA
This 406-nucleotide ribosomal RNA is filed under the name Psammodictyon panduriforme var. continuum. RNAcentral describes it as "SSU rRNA". It matches the Rfam family "Eukaryotic small subunit ribosomal RNA", at positions 624 to 1026 of the family's 1831-position model. The record is from RNAcentral. Lineage: Eukaryota; Bacillariophyta; Bacillariophyceae; Bacillariales; Bacillariaceae.